RNA transcript from Rosa rugosa (rugosa rose), 1255 nucleotides. It is a transcript of the gene named transcription factor bHLH36-like, with no coding region annotated. NCBI's taxonomy places the organism in Eukaryota, Viridiplantae, Streptophyta, Magnoliopsida, Rosales, Rosaceae. The transcript is spliced from 5 exons. The record is from RefSeq and is a predicted model, not a curated record.
UGCUCUUACCCUAAAUACAUAUAGUCUUUGUUCGAUGUUUCCUUUCCCUCAUGAUCAUCAAAGCAAAAAUAUGGAAUUACAAAUAUCUUCGACUCCCCACCAAGAAGAUUUUAUGCAACAGGAUCUGAUCAUGAUGCGGGGUAGUCAUGAGGUUUUGCCAUCUGAUCUGCAGGGACGUAGUCUAUCCAAUAUUAAUAUUAGUGAAGCAAAUAUUAACAAUAUGGCUACUGAUUCUGGCGAAAGGAAGAUCUUGCGUAGGGACAACGAGCGCCAAAGAAGACAAGUUAUGGCGAUUCGCACUGCAUCACUUCGAUCCCUCCUCCCUCUUGAAUUAAUCAAGGGAAAACGUUCAAUCUCCGAGCACAUAAAUGAAGCAGUGAAUUAUAUAAAGCAGCUGAAGGAAAAGAUACAGGAGCUGAAUGCCAAGAGGGAAGAGCUUAGAAGGGUGUAUAAACAUUACAGUAGUUCUGCACAUGAUUUCAGUCCUGAAAUUAAUGAAAAUUUGGGUACUAAGAGUACUUCCAAUAUCAUGGUUGGCCCAACAUGUUGGGGUGGAGUGGAGAUUGUGGUAAGUACUAAUGGUACAAAUUGCAGUGAGCUAGAAGGAUUUUCUCUUUCAGGAGUACUCAAAGCAUUGCUUGCAGAGGGCCUUACCGUUGUGGAGUGUGCUUCCACCACAGCAAAUCAGAGGUUGUUUCACUCUAUUCAGUGUGAGGUCGACGAUUUGGCAUGUCUGGAUUUGUCUGAGCUACAACUGAAACUAAAUUUUUUAUGCAAUUCUGGCUAGUCAGCAUGGCAUUCUAGUUCGGAGAUAGGGUUAAGUUGGAACAAGAAGAAGCAAAUUUUUUUUUUAUCUCCAGCAAUAUUGCACGCAGCCGCAUAUCAAAUUUCAAAAGAAUCAAUAGGAAGAAGAAGAUAAGAGAAAGAGGAGCUGAUUUUGAGAAAGCUUGUUUUGAUUUUGCGAAAGCUUGGUUUGUCAAAUUUCCAAAAGUUGAAGCUUUCACUCACUCUGAGCGGCAUAUCUCUUUGAGGCUCGACUCUCCUUCAGAAUUGAAGGUUUUCUCUCCUUUACAUAUAAAGAAGUACUGAAGCCAACAUGGAUAUACAUGAACAAUUGUGCACAUUUGAUUCCAUGAACUCGGCACAUAUACUAGUUUCACAUCAGCAGCCCCCAACAUAUUUCAACCUCUUCAAUAUGGUUACAAGAUUCGUUUGUUCUUUUUUUCUUUUCUUUUUUAUCCAAACCGAUGGGAUA